UUAAAUUGAAGAGUUUGAUCAUGGCUCAGAUUGAACGCUGGCGGCAGGCCUAACACAUGCAAGUCGAACGGUAACAGGAAUCAGCUUGCUGAUUCGCUGACGAGUGGCGGACGGGUGAGUAAUGUCUGGGA
Molecule: ribosomal RNA, 131 nt
Filed under: Escherichia coli
Lineage: Bacteria; Pseudomonadati; Pseudomonadota; Gammaproteobacteria; Enterobacterales; Enterobacteriaceae
Description: partial 16S ribosomal RNA
Rfam family: Bacterial small subunit ribosomal RNA
Source: RNAcentral